Long non-coding RNA from Triticum aestivum (bread wheat), 2773 nucleotides. RefSeq lists it as uncharacterized. The record is from RefSeq and is a predicted model, not a curated record. NCBI's taxonomy places the organism in Eukaryota, Viridiplantae, Streptophyta, Magnoliopsida, Poales, Poaceae. The transcript is spliced from 2 exons.
GUGAUAUUUACUAAAAUUAUAUUGACCAAGCACAACAUAUCCAAUCAUCUGGAACCUGUCCUCUUCUUUUCUGGAACUAGCAGAAACCACCGUUCUUUGACUGAUUGUUACAGAGUUUAUCUGGUUUUGAAAAUUAAUAUUCUCUGAAUUUUUUUGCUAGCUAAACACCACUUGAAGGUACCUGGAAAUACAUUACUUGCUGAAGCUGCACAUCUUACGCCCCAGGAGGAGGCCAAAUUCAUAUUCCGAUCAUGUGAUCUAAAUACUAAAGCUUCCUUGCUGGAUCUAAGGUUUAAUUUCUCUGCCCCAAUGCUGGUUCUUAGGGUAAUACAAGUUCUACUCCAUAUUUUUUAUGCCCUCCACAUAAAUCCAUCACUCUCUUGUUGCCUUGAAGCAUACUUCCGUAGCAGCCGGAGCUGAACAUUUAGAGAGACCAUAUUGUAGCAAGCUUGCUUUCCAGGGACCUGGUGUUUCUGCAAACCCAACGAUAGGCGUGUUUGAAAAAAAAAAGGUCAGUUCGUGUUGCAAUUUCAUGAAAACUUGCUUAUGCGGUGUUAUUGCACUGGUACAAAAAAUGUCAUGGUCUUUUUCUUCCUGUUUAGAACGCCACCUACCUAUGAAUUACGACUCUGGGCAUGGCAGAAGUCACCAUAAUUUUUGUUCAGCAACUAGAUUUCAUCCCAAGAUGUGCCAUCUCUCUAAUUUGACUCUGAGCAUGUAAUACAGUUAGUUAAUCAUGUGGGUUGGUCUUGUGUCUUCCAGCUGCAAUUGAAUUAGUCUAAGCAAUUGAGGUCCUACUAAUUAAUUAAGCUGGCUAUUUGCUUGCUUCUUGUACCUACGACAUGCUCUCUGAUUUUCUUUAUCGCAGUAUGCAAGCUUCUAAGCGCCGGAUUGAUGUCGUACUAACAAAUUAAGGUGGUUGAUUACUUGCUUUUUUUUCUCAGUAUUGCAAGCUUUACUGUGAACUAAAAGGAAUUAAAAGGAAGGAGCCAGUAUGCCUACAGUUGAUUCACUGAUGUUCAAAUUAACUGCAGUAGCUUAUUUUUCCUACACCUUCAUUGAAAGUUCCUUUGCCAUAUCUAAUUAUCUAAAGUUUUCCUUGUACCAUUUUCCAUGAGAUUAAUGUAAUUGGGAAUACCAGUGCUUGUUUGAAUCAUUUAGUUAAUUAAUUUUGUAGAUAAAACUUGUAUUUAUAUGUUUUAGAAUUACUAUUAUCCUGGUAAAAUGACCACAAGUGAAAGGGUUGUAAAGAUUAAUUAUUCUUUGUGGAAGCAUUAUUGGUCUAAUUAAUAGAUGUACAUGCAUCAAUAAUGUUGUUGAGCUUUAGUUGAUUCUAUAGGGUCGUACUAUUCGCAAAGUUCUAUUUUGAGAAAAAAUAGCAAAUUUUUGCUUGUGGUAGCUAAAUGGCGCGCCCGCUGUAGCAAGUGAGUGCCCAUCGAAAUCACCCUGAGCAUAUUUGCGCUGAUUUUCAUGAUUGCUCUUCUGCCAGCAACAAUGUUCCUCGCACUUCGACCACACAACUGUAUGUUCAUGUUCCAGAGUCCUUAUUCAUAGUUAAUUUCAAUCACAAAGUGACAAAUGCCAGUCUAUUAGUUAACAUGUGUAUCUCCGUUUCUUCUAAGUUUCAAUCGACCUACUCUGAAGUUGUUCCUAAGACAGUGCCUCAAGCAAAGGGAAUGAGCCUCAGUUAGUGUAUCUAGCGAGUUCGCGAUCCUUUGUUGGGAUAAACAUUUGUGCAAGAGCAAGUCUCGUCACUGUUGGUUGUUCGUACUGUUGCUUGAUAAUUCUAAUUUUUACUUCAGUUCAUAAGGCAAUGUAGUUAUGCUUGACGCACGAUAUGAAGACUGCCAUUUUGCCUUUUGACCUUGGUUUCUUCCUCCAGUAAGUAAAUGCACAUACUUCUUUUCUAAAUUAGAGCAUAUGACUUGUUGAUCGAUCUCUGAACUCAGUAAUAAUAUUAAGCCUUAAUCUGUUUAUUGUGCAGACAAGAUGAGAAAGAAAUGCUACCCAAGAAUAUGUACUUUAUAAACAUUUCAACUGUAAUCUGGAAUAAAAUUAAAUAAAUAAGGAAACAGUAUAUUCAUAUAUCUUUUUUGUACUUUGAUGGUUUCACACCACAAGUUCCUAGAUGGUAAUUGUGCUGCAUAUGUCUGCUCUCUUUGUUUUUCUGAACAGGUAGGUUCCGGAAGAUGUCAUGAAGAAUUUCUUUGAGAGAAUUUGCGUGAGGUGUGUCUAAAUGAUUUUUAUCUUCUAAACAUAUUCUUGUAUGACUAACUGAAUUCAUUUUCUCAAAACGUUGGUACUUUUCCUUUUUCAUUUAUGUUGCUCGACUGAGUCUCUCUCGGAUCAUGUACACUCCACAUGCUAGCUGAUUUGUAGCAGUGCGGAAGGUGAGCUUGGCUGCCGGCAGCAGCUCCUUUGGCUGAUCUGCGGCGAUGCAGAAGUUGGGUUGGAAAAAAGCACGACCGGCUGCUCUGAAGUGGGUCGUAGGGAGAGCUUCGUAAGAGAUAGGGAGGGAGCUCUAUUGGCCCGUGCAUGACAUCCAACCCAAUGGCAUCAUGCCCUGGUAGGCAUGGUUGCAUGGCCACGGGGAGAAUGGAGCAAGUAGCGUGUGAGGAGUUUAAGAAAUGGGGACAAGGGACAGUUUAGUUAAUUAAGUCUAUGUUAGUUUCAAGUUUUAUCCUUGUUGCGGUAAAAAAUUAAGGUUGGAUUAACCACCAUGUACAUCUUUAAUUACUUUUAAAUAAGAAAUAUAAUCAAAAUAUUCUUUUGA